This 408-nucleotide ribosomal RNA is filed under the name bacterium enrichment culture clone ALO1_GLFRUDD03F29TG. RNAcentral's name for it is "bacterial SSU rRNA". It matches the Rfam family "Bacterial small subunit ribosomal RNA", at positions 9 to 417 of the family's 1533-position model. The record is from RNAcentral.
GAGUUUGAUCAUGGCUCAGAUUGAACGCUGGCGGCAUGCCUUACACAUGCAAGUCGAACGGCAGCACGGGAGCUUGCUCCUGGUGGCGAGUGGCGAACGGGUGAGUAAUGCAUCGGAACGUAUCCUGGAGUGGGGGAUAACGUAGCGAAAGUUACGCUAAUACCGCAUAUUCUGUGAGCAGGAAAGCGGGGGACCUUCGGGCCUCGCGCUCUUGGAGCGGCCGAUGUCGGAUUAGCUAGUUGGUGAGGUAAAGGCUCACCAAGGCGACGAUCCGUAGCAGGUCUGAGAGGAUGAUCUGCCACACUGGAACUGAGACACGGUCCAGACUCCUACGGGAGGCAGCAGUGGGGAAUUUUGAACAAUGGGGGCAACCCUGAUCCAGCCAUGCCGCGUGAGUGAAGAAGGCCU